Molecule: long non-coding RNA, 205 nt
Filed under: Mytilus galloprovincialis (Mediterranean mussel)
Lineage: Eukaryota; Metazoa; Mollusca; Bivalvia; Mytilida; Mytilidae
Source: RNAcentral
GCCUUAAAAGCUCAUUUACUCUAACUUCAUUGUAUAUUUGUGUAUAAAAUAUAUUCCAAUCGCAUUCAAUUUAUCUCAGACAUUCAUUGCCUAUUUUCAUACACAGUUUCGUCUUCUCUAAUCUUUUAGUCUCAGUGUGUAGGAGGUAAUAAAUCAAAUGGAAAACGAUUUUGUGUCGACUUUUAACCGUUUUCGAUUCAUUCCC